Molecule: long non-coding RNA, 554 nt
Organism: Chelonoidis abingdonii (Abingdon island giant tortoise)
Lineage: Eukaryota; Metazoa; Chordata; Testudines; Testudinidae
Source: RefSeq, a predicted model, not a curated record
AUAAAGACCAGGUUGAACUGCACCAGCACGCAGGGCAGGAGGGCGAAGAGCAGGGUCAGCGCCUGCCAGAUGCGGUCCCCCGCCGAGCGAAACACUGACAUCUGCAGACAAGUUGUUUACUUGCCUACUUCUUAAAAGCUACAGUAAAGUUUGCAACAGGGGACCCAGCAGGACACAAAACAGCAAUGUCUUCUGGAUGGAUGCGAGAAGUCCUGUAUUACAGACAUGAUUAAGCAGGUCUGCUGCACAGUCACCACAGUGGACUGGAGCAAUGCAAAGGAAAACCUUGACCAGGGAAUGAGAAAGAUUAUCAUAAAUGGGAAGGAAGCAGAGGCUAGAGACUGAUGAAGGAAAAAAUGAGAGGUACAGUAAAAAACAAAUGAAAAAUGCAUGAAACACCUCCAUGCCAGGCAUGGUGAGGAAGUGCAGACAAGAGGAAAAUGGAUCAAUCAGAACCAGGAGGGAAAUGCUGCUCCAGCCAGACAAGACAGACAUUAACAAAUCACACAGAGACAAAGCAAAAUGUGUUGUUUUUUUUUCCCCAGGACCACAAA